GGAGGACUGUGGUUCAGUCGUAGAAUGUCUGCCUUGCACACAGGAGGUGCCAGGUUCAAGCCCUGGCAUUGCCA
Non-coding RNA from Podarcis lilfordi (Lilford's wall lizard), 74 nucleotides. NCBI's taxonomy places the organism in Eukaryota, Metazoa, Chordata, Lepidosauria, Squamata, Lacertidae. The record is from the annotation of a GenBank genome assembly.